GACGAACGCUGGCGGCGUGCUUAACACAUGCAAGUCGAACGGAAAGGCCCCCAUCUUGGUGGGGGUGCUCGAGUGGCGAACGGGUGAGUAACACGUGGGUGAUCUGCCCUGUACUUCGGGAUAAGCUUGGGAAACUGGGUCUAAUACCGGAUAGGACCAUGGUUUAGUGUCUCAUGGUGGAAAGAUUAUUGUUUUGGUGCAGGAUGAGCUCGCGGCCUAUCAGCUUGUUGGUGGGGUAAUGGCCUACCAAGGCGUCGACGGGUAGCCGGCCUGAGAGGGUGGACGGCCACAUUGGGACUGAGAUACGGACCAGACUCCUACGGGAGGCAGCAGUGGGGAAUAUUGCACAAUGGGCGCAAGCCUGAUGCAGCGACGCCGCGUGGGGGAUGACGGCCUUCGGGUUGUAAACUCCUUUCGUUAGGGACGAAGCCGCACUUUUUUUGGGUGUGGUGACGGUACCUUUGUGAAGAAGCACCGGCUAACUACGUG
RNAcentral lists this ribosomal RNA (489 nucleotides) under uncultured bacterium. RNAcentral describes it as "partial 16S ribosomal RNA". It matches the Rfam family "Bacterial small subunit ribosomal RNA", at positions 28 to 507 of the family's 1533-position model. The record is from RNAcentral.